This 171-nucleotide ribosomal RNA is filed under the name uncultured bacterium. RNAcentral describes it as "partial 16S ribosomal RNA". The record is from RNAcentral.
CACGCCCUAAACGAUGAAUACUCGAUGUUGGCGAUAUACGGUCAGCGUCUAAGCGAAAGCGUUAAGUAUUCCACCUGGGGAGUACNUGAUACGCGAGGAACCUUACCCGGGCUUGAAAGUUAGUGAAUGAUCCAGAGACGGAUCAGCUCUUCGGAGCACGAAACUAGGUGC